Molecule: ribosomal RNA, 491 nt
Filed under: uncultured bacterium
Lineage: Bacteria
Description: partial 16S ribosomal RNA
Rfam family: Bacterial small subunit ribosomal RNA
Source: RNAcentral
GAUGAACGCUGGCUACAGGCUUAACACAUGCAAGUCGAGGGGAAACGACGGGGAAGCUUGCUUCCCCGGGCGUCGACCGGCGCACGGGUGAGUAACGCGUAUCCAACCUGCCUCUGACUGAGGGAUAACCCGUCGAAAGUCGGCCUAAUACCUCAUGGCAUCGUCUGCGGGCAUCCAACGACGAUUAAAGAUUUCAUCGGUCAGAGAUGGGGAUGCGUCUGAUUAGCUUGUUGGCGGGGUAACGGCCCACCAAGGCGACGAUCAGUAGGGGUUCUGAGAGGAAGGUCCCCCACAUUGGAACUGAGACACGGUCCACACUCCUACGGGAGGCAGCAGUGAGGAAUAUUGGUCAAUGGGCGAGAGCCUGAACCAGCCAAGUAGCGUGCAGGAUGACGGCCCUAUGGGUUGUAAACUGCUUUUAUGCGGGGAUAAAGUGAGGGACGUGUCCUUCAUUGCAGGUACCGCAUGAAUAAGGACCGGCUAAUUCCGUG